This 1074-nucleotide ribosomal RNA is filed under the name uncultured bacterium. RNAcentral's name for it is "bacterial SSU rRNA". It matches the Rfam family "Bacterial small subunit ribosomal RNA", at positions 1 to 1080 of the family's 1533-position model. The record is from RNAcentral.
CGUCGACACAGAGCUUUGAUCCUGCUCAGGAUUAACGCUGGCGGCGUGCCUAAUGCAUGCAAGUCGAACGUGGUUCCUUCGGGAACAAACGUGGCGGACGGGUGAGGAACGCGUGGGGAACCUGCCCAGUGGUGGGGGGUAGCCGGCGGAAACGCCGGGUAAUUCCGCAUACGCUGGCCUGGGGGUAGCCCAGGUCAGGAAAGGGGCUUUCGAGCCUCGCCGCUGGAGGGGCCUGCGUCCGAUUAGCUGGUUGGUGGGGUAACGGCCUACCAAGGCGGUGAUCGGUAGCUGGUCUGAGAGGACGGCCAGCCACAGGGGGACUGAGACACGGCCCCCACUCCUACGGGAGGCAGCAGCAAGGAGUUUUCCGCAAUGGGCGCAAGCCUGACGGAGCAACGCCGCGUGGGGGAUGACACCUUUCGGGGCGUAAACCCCUUUUCUUGGGGACGAAGCAGUGACGGUACCCGAGGAAGAAGGCCCGGCUAACUACGUGCCAGCAGCCGCGGUAAUACGUAGGGGCCGAGCGUUGUCCGGAGUUACUGGGCGUAAAGCGCGCGCAGGCGGCUCGUCAAGCCUGACGUGAAAGCCCCCGGCUCAACCGGGGAGGGUCGUCGGGGACUGGCGGGCUUGAGGUCGGCAGGGGUUGGUGGAAUUCCCGGUGUAGUGGUGAAAUGCGUAGAGAUCGGGAGGAACACCCGUGGCGAAGGCGGCCAACUGGGCCGGACCUGACGCUGAGGCGCGAAGGCGUGGGGAGCGAACGGGAUUAGAUACCCCGGUAGUCCACGCAGUAAACGAUGCAGACUAGGCGUGGGGGACUUGACCCCCUCCGUGCCGCAGCUAACGCCGUGAAGUCUGCCGCCUGGGGAGUACGGCCCGCAGGCUUAAACUCAAAGGAAUUGGCGGGGGGCCGCACAAGCGGGGGAAGCGUGGGGGUUUAUUUCCACGCCAACGCGCAAAACCUUUCCCGGGGUUUUGACAUGGGCACCUGCAGAACCCCGGGAAACCGGGUUUGGGUUUUCGAAAGGUUGGGUCCCCAGGGGGGCUUGCAAGGGGUUGUGCCUCUCGGCUUUCGGG